GCACAUAGGGGUAAAAGGAGUGGGAAAUUUACUUGAGUAGAGGUUCAAGAGAGAACCUGAUUCUGAGUCAUGAAUGGAAAUAAUAGAAUACCAACAUGACUCAGAAUUACUCACACAUAAGGGGAUAACAGCGAAGGGGUACCAUAUAAGAAAGGUUUACAGAAAACAUGCAGAAAGCAAAGGCAUAACAGACUUGAAGGUGCAGAAUACGAUGAAAGAGAGCAUGGCAGACUGAAUGGAGAAUGCACAGCAGAAGAAGGGUAAUAAAUACAUAUUCAGGAGGGCAUUAUUUAACUAGGAAGACAUACUAGAUGCAAUUUUCAGAACAACAAAACAAAAAUAGCAAGUAAACAGUCAGAGAGUCAACAUGAGCAAACUCAGAAACUUCAGCAAACACUUGAGAAUUCAAAGAAACUCAAAGAAUAUUUUCAUUGUAAUGAGAAGAGGAGCAGGGUGCUCAGUAGAGAAAGUAGUAGCUGUAGCAAAGAAAGCAGUAUUAGAGAAAGCUGUAGUGGAGAGAGUAGUGUAUUUGUUUUAAAGACAUAGAACUUUUUUUAAGGGAGUCUGAUUCCAACGGGUAAAACAAGUUAAGGAAAUAGAAAUUUUCUUAAAACCUUUCAAAGUAGCAUAAAAGGGGUCAAUACAUAGAACUUAUUUAAGGAAAACAAUCAAUAGUACAUGGUUGGAUAGAAAUAAGGAAAUGAAUUAAUCACAGCCAGUGAAAUCAGGAUUCCAAGUCUUGGAAUGAAUGAAUCCAUCACAGAAAGGUGAAGAGGGACUUAAUUUGAAAAAAAUCAUUAACAUUCAAUUAGACCCUUUUGAAAAAGGAUUCUGAAUCAAUCACAAGCGGGACAAAGGCCCUUUUGAAAAGAGGAGAAUGUCAUAUAAAAAGCAUGUAGAGACAUGAAAGUAUUGUUGUAAAACCUAGCAAAAAUCAGAGUAGCAAGAAAAGUUAGGUUCAUAGACUCAAAGUGAGUCUUAGAGGGUCAGGGUUUUGGAUGGGACCCUAGCGCAAGCACACAACCAAGCAUGUCAAAAACCCCAAACCUAGGGUUUCGAAUUCGAGUAAGGUACAGAAAGGAGGGGGAAAGCCCUAGAAAUAGAUUCAGAGAGUCUCAUGAAGAAGCACACGGAUAUAAUAGCAAGUUUGAAGCAACAGAGCGAGAGAAUCAUAAAGAACAUGUUUAAUAAAACUUCAUGACUCAAAUAAGAAAAGAUGUGACAUAGCACUUAAGCGACAAUAGAUGGAAUAGGUUUAUAACUCAAACAAACUCAGUAAAAAAAUAGUAAAGGAACAUACAUAAGACAGACACGUAAAGCAUACUGUAGAAAAUCAGUAGAAGAAAUAACAGAGCACAAGUAGAAGAACAUGCAUAAUAAUGGCAAAACAUAUGCACAAGCAAAAACACAUAAGAGCAAAACAUAUACAGGCAGAUUCACAUAAAGAAAGAAAAAGAAGGAGAAACAGAAAUAAUUUUAAGAGUUUUUCGAAACCCUAGAUUGAACAGACUAAUUUAGAAAGAGAAGAUUGGGGAAAAGCAUUAUAAACUCGAGUGUAGCACAGAUCAAUCACAGAUAUAAAAAAAUAAAGGAAGAAAGAACCUCGAACGUCAUUUAAGGUUUCUCAGGAACCCUAGAGAUGAGAAGGCUUGGAAUGGAUCUGGUCUCAAACAGGUCUGGACCAUAGCUAGGCCUUUCAAGGCUCAAACACAUUGGAACGGAGCCGGAGAAGCCAUAGGAACUCAGAUCGGUGGAGGACCUGGAUAGGCAAUGUUAAAGUUGAACCUCAAAAAUCUCGAACGACCAUGAUUUGGGGUGAAGGGAAGAGAGCACAGGCCAUUCAUAGCCUGAGAAGCCAUGGACGCCAUUGGAAUUUGGUCGGAGAAGACGAUAGGGGGCAGCUAGGGUUUGAGUAGUAGAGAGAGUUCAAGAGAAGCAGAGAGUGCAAAG
RNAcentral lists this long non-coding RNA (1950 nucleotides) under Nicotiana benthamiana. RNAcentral's name for it is "long non-coding RNA (NBEN_LNC003594)". Lineage: Eukaryota; Viridiplantae; Streptophyta; Magnoliopsida; Solanales; Solanaceae. The record is from RNAcentral.